GAUGAACGCUGGCGGCGUGCCUAAUACAUGCAAGUCGAGCGAACAGACGAGGAGCUUGCUCCUCUGACGUUAGCGGCGGACGGGUGAGUAACACGUGGAUAACCUACCUAUAAGACUGGGAUAACUUCGGGAAACCGGAGCUAAUACCGGAUAAUAUAUUGAACCGCAUGGUUCAAUAGUGAAAGGCGGUUUUGCUGUCACUUAUAGAUGGAUCCGCGCCGCAUUAGCUAGUUGGUAAGGUAACGGCUUACCAAGGCAACGAUGCGUAGCCGACCUGGGAGGGUGAUCGGCCACACUGGAACUGAGACACGGUCCAGACUCCUACGGGAGGCAGCAGUAGGGAAUCUUCCGCAAUGGGCGAAAGCCUGACGGAGCAACGCCGCGUGAGUGAUGAAGGUCUUCGGAUCGUAAAACUCUGUUAUUAGGGAAGAACAAAUGUGUAAGUAACUAUGCACGUCUUGACGGUACCUAAUCAGAAAGCCACGGCUAACUACGUG
This 497-nucleotide ribosomal RNA is filed under the name uncultured bacterium. RNAcentral describes it as "partial 16S ribosomal RNA". It matches the Rfam family "Bacterial small subunit ribosomal RNA", at positions 28 to 507 of the family's 1533-position model. The record is from RNAcentral.